AUUGAACGCUGGCGGCAGGCCUAACACAUGCAAGUCGAACGGUAACAGGAAGAAGCUUGCUUCUUUGCUGACGAGUGGCGGACGGGUGAGUAAUGUCUGGGAAACUGCCUGAUGGAGGGGGAUAACUACUGGAAACGGUAGCUAAUACCGCAUAACGUCGCAAGACCAAAGAAGGGGACCUUCGGGCCUCUUGCCAUCGGAUGUGCCCAGAUGGGAUUAGCUAGUAGGUGGGGUAACGGCUCACCUAGGCGACGAUCCCUAGCUGGUCUGAGAGGAUGACCAGCCACACUGGAACUGAGACACGGUCCAGACUCCUACGGGAGGCAGCAGUGGGGAAUAUUGCACAAUGGGCGCAAGCCUGAUGCAGCCAUGCCGCGUGUAUGAAGAAGGCCUUCGGGUUGUAAAGUACUUUCAGCGGGGAGGAAGGGAGUAAAGUUAAUACCUUUGCUCAUUGACGUUACCCGCAGAAGAAGCACCGGCUAACUCCGUG
This 490-nucleotide ribosomal RNA is filed under the name uncultured bacterium. Its description in RNAcentral is "partial 16S ribosomal RNA". It matches the Rfam family "Bacterial small subunit ribosomal RNA", at positions 30 to 507 of the family's 1533-position model. The record is from RNAcentral.